RNAcentral lists this transfer RNA (67 nucleotides) under Pagurus longicarpus (long-clawed hermit crab). RNAcentral's name for it is "tRNA-Tyr". It matches the Rfam family "tRNA". Rfam says of the family: Transfer RNA (tRNA) molecules are approximately 80 nucleotides in length. Lineage: Eukaryota; Metazoa; Arthropoda; Malacostraca; Decapoda; Paguridae. The record is from RNAcentral.
GAUAAAAUGGCUGAGUCUUAGGCGUUAGAUUGUAAAUCUAAUAACGAAUAUAAAUAUUCUUUUAUUA